AUGAGAAGUUCAGAAGUAAUUAGGGAAGUGCUGUUUGAGCUCAUCCAGUUAUUUUCAAUUUCUCUCUUCAGUUCGCACCGCAGCACAAAAGAUCGUCACGUAAAAAAAAAAAAUCGGACUGCUCAGAAAACUCAUUUUCUCUUAAAAAGAAAGGGACGGGGAAAAAAAGAAGCCAUCCGUUAUUUGGGCCGAGUUUGCUCUUUACUGAAGUGCAGUGCCAAACUUGACGUGAUCCCGAGAGGGGCUGCCCCUGCCCGCACCGCGCCUCUGCCUCCCCAGCCCGGGUUUCCUGCUGGCGCCCCAGGGCCACCGCCCAGCUCCGGCUCGUCGUCCAGCGUUCAGCUCACUCCUGGAAAAUUCGGGGCAGUCUACCUUUUUCUAAGGUACGAUUUUGUUGCGAUGAAGCACAGAGGUGUCAGAAGAAAAAAGACGGACCCCGGGUCUGUAUGCUCUCACCUCUUCGGAGGCGGAAUGCUUUGGCAGCAGAGACGUGGUUGAAAUUUGAGCAGAUUAUACGUUUGAGCUUGUGCAUAAAUGCGAAAAGACUGUCCUAAUGCUGGCUAUUUCUCCAUCAACAUCAACCAGGUGCUGCUGUUGCAAAAAUCUCACCUCUGACUGCUUGCUCUGUGCAUGUGUGCACGCACAGCGAUGCACAGACUUUGUUCUCUCUUCAUGUCUGAAAUUCAUCAACUACCCACCCCCGUUCCCAGCCCCACGUCCCCUACGUGAAAAAAAAAAAAAAAGUGAAUCCGUUCAGGCUUUGAAUAUUGUGUAAGAAGCCUUGUGUGUGUAUUUUUUUUAAUCUUCAAAUGAAUUAAAGACAACCUGACAAUGCUGUCAUCUGUCUUCAACGUCACAUCAAGGCAAGAAAUAAUGAUAACAGAGCAGCAGAAGGACGCCCACUGAAACCUGGAGGAUAUAUAUACACAUAUAUAUACACACAUAUAUAUGCCUUGAAACAGUAUGAAAGAGAACAAAAUUAGAUUACCGCUCUUAGGCUAUCACGGUAAAAACGUGUGGGAUUUUGCGUGCGUAUGUGUGUGAGUGGCUCAUCUUUCCUGCCUUAUUUUGUGAAGCGCGCGCUACUCGAUCCAAACCACUUCUGUGGGAUGGGACAAGAAGACGAGCAGGCACAUUCCUCGUUCCCAAACUACCACGACCAAAGGAAGCACCAAAAUAUCUCCCCCUCCCCCUCCACCGUUUCAGGUUCACGUUCCAGUUAAUAACAAACGUUACUGCUCUCCCGAGGCGCAGGCCAGAGCGGGCACGCUUUGCGCGGAGGCCCGGGCGGGCGCGUUACGCGCAGCUGCCCGGUGGGAAAGGGGCUGCUCCCGGGGGGAGGAAGAGCGAGGAGCGGCUCCCGGGGUGGAGGAAGAGCGAGGAGCGGCUCCCUUUGUCUGCGCGGGCCGCGGGCCGGUGCCGCUCCCGGCCGCCAGGCGGCGCUGCGGCCCCCGGCGGAGCGCAGGGCAGCGGCCGCAGCCGAGCCGGGCCGGGCCGGGCCCCCACGGGCCCCGCGUGCUCGGGCACCGGGAACCGCCCGCAGUCCCGGAGGGCAGCACGGCACCACAAACGGCCUGCCCAGAAAAAAACAGAUAGGCCGGAUCAAAAAAUAGAAAACCCGAAACACACACACACAAAAACUCCCCUCAAAAACAAAACUAAAAAUCAUGGUGGUUGGGUUUAGGUUUGGUUUUUUUGUUGUUGUUUUGUUGUUGUUUUUUUUUUUUUUUUAAUCGCGCUUGUAAUCUCAUUCGCUCUGAAGGGUAAAUAAAUUGCAGUUGUAUGAAAAACA
Molecule: long non-coding RNA, 1792 nt
Filed under: Junco hyemalis (dark-eyed junco)
Lineage: Eukaryota; Metazoa; Chordata; Aves; Passeriformes; Passerellidae
Description: lncRNA (ENSJHYG00000017748.1)
Source: RNAcentral